This is a non-coding RNA of Equus caballus (horse), 9562 nucleotides long. The record is from RefSeq and is a predicted model, not a curated record. Lineage: Eukaryota; Metazoa; Chordata; Mammalia; Perissodactyla; Equidae.
GGAUUGGCAUCAGAUGUUAGCUCAGGGCUAAUCUUCCUCCAAAAAAAAAAAAAAAGGAACAGUAGAAACUGAGGUCAUGUCCAAAAUGGGAAUACCUCUGUCAGGCUGUUAGUUUGGGGAUCUGAGUGAAUUUAGUCAGCCUUCAAGGUGAGUUGGGUUUGUGGUUGCUGUGGUUGUCUUUAGUGGACCCACACACUUCAGAUUCCUCCAGGGGUGGGCUUGACUGCCACGACCUUGUAGUUUGUGUGAGGUCUGGAGCUCUCAGUCUCUCUGCUCCACCCUCAGAUUUCAGCAGGUGCUCUAUGCCUGAGCAUGGAGGGAGCUAUUUCCAUGGUUUUGCUCCUCCUCCAGCAGUACAUGGCUGUUAGCUGUACUAGAUUCAAGGCUCCCCGUGGGGCAGGGGAGGGGUUUCUCAGCUCUCCUGCUCCCGUCUGAGUCUUAGGCAGGCCCUGUGCACCUGUUCCAGUGGCAGACAGUCUCUGCCUCCUGCUCAGUGCAGGGUCUAGGGCACAGGCAGGUUCCAUGUCCCUUUCUCCAAAUUCUGCUUGUGUUGGUGGGUGUCUUAGAUGUGAGCGAGUUUGGGAAGAUCACCUUGGUCUUAUGAAGCCAGUCUAUUUACAAUUUUUCCUUACUCCAUGGCACAGCUUCCCAGGAUCUGAAUCAAAAGCUGAGUCUCUCCUUUUUGGUGAGACUUGCAGUACAAUUUUUGUCUUCCCAGCAUCACGGGACUGGCAAAUUCUCUCUUAGCUUUUCGUCUUCUUGUGUUUUUUACUCAGUUUCUCUGUUUCUUGUCCUGAAGCUAAUCUCUUAGAAAUCAGAAAAUGCCUUUAGGGAAAAUUAUAUAUAGACCAUUGGUCUCAGCUAUCUAUAGUUUUUUUCUCUUGAUCUUGGCCCCUCAUAUCAUAGCUGCUUAAUUGAGCCCUGAACUCCAUUUUUUGUUUCCCCAGCCCAGUUAAACUGCCACAAGCUCAAGAAUGCUGCUUUGAACGUUCUCUUGAAUCAGUGAAUGCCCCAAGGGAAGAACACAGCUGAGAAUGCAGGACUCCCCUCCACCCAUCUCCUUCUCUCCAAGAUCUUGGCCCUCGAGUCCUGGUUGCACUGUUGUUUCCCAGUGCCUUCAGAUUUUGUUUUGUUUUCCUUAGUAUUUCAUUCAGGUUUUAUAGUUAUUCUCAGUGACUGAAUUAAUCUCCUUCUAGCACCUCUGUUACAGCCAGAAGACAACGUUGCCUUAUUAUAUUCUAAACCCGAGCCCCUAACCAUCAAGUCUUGGUGAUUCUUAUAAAAUCCUCUUAAUUACCUUGUGUUCAAGCCUCACAUUCACUUUCUUCCCAUAGUUUAUGUAUUGGCAUAUAAUUGAGGUCAUGUUAUGGUAGCAUUUAUUUUUCCAUAAACUUUGGUUGAUUUGUCAAUAAAGAUCAUCUGGUUAUAUAUUAUAAUUUAUAGAAGAGUUGAAUAUUUUGAUACUACUUAGUCCAGUAUGUUUUUUUUUUGCCUAAGAGGAGGAAAACUACAGAUUAACAUCAUCAUGAAGAGUAAACCUUCACACUUGGAAGACAGAUCAGUGUACAGGAUUUGUAUUGGAGUUUACAUAGUUUUGAUUAGAUAAUGUCCUUAACAGAGGAAUCUCAUAGAGAGGCAAGUUGGAUAAGUAUAUAUUCGAUUCAAAUUAAUAUAGUAAUUGAACAAUACAUAGAAAAUAAAUACUGUGAUACAUGAACCUAGGUUAAGCAAGUUAAUCAAAAAAUUCUCUUGCAAAUGGAUUUUAACCUGAGUUCUAGCUAGCUGGAGUGAUAGUAAACUGUGCUGGUGGAAGUGAAGAGGUAGAAUGUUCUAGAAGUGAAGGACAUUUUUAAGCUAAAGAUUGUUGAUAAAUAGCAAGAAGAUGGAAGAUUAGGGAAGAAAUGGAAAUACAUUAGUAUUAAACAGUUUUAUAAUAUCUACAGAAAGGGGAGAAAUUUGAAAAGGAAUAUAAUCUGAGCUCAUAUUGAAAGCUAACACAUGUAGGACUGGUUGAAAGAAGGAAGUGACUGGAGUUGAGUGAUCCUUUUAAGAAGGAAGCUGUAGUAUGGCCACCAUCAGACUGAGGUAGCAAUGAAGGUAAAGUGGAAGGAUUUGAUUAAUACUAUAACUUGCAGCAUCUUUUGGUGGAAUGAAUGGAGAUGAAGACAGGGGAGAGUUUAAGAGAAUAAAUACAAGGAAGCCAGAUACCAUUUUUUUCUCAAUGUCAUUUUAAGAAAGUUAAGCUGAGGAAGUGACAAAUUGUAUUCUUGCAGAUCGUGGCAGGAGGGAACGUCACGGCAGGGAGGAUAAAAGUUUUGGGUGCUGUCUUUGUCUAAUUUAAUUUCAGGAGAUGAAUCUCCAUUUGAGAUUAAUUUAUUCAUUAUUGCAAUCAACACAUUUGUUGAACAAUUCCUACGUGUAAAGCAUUAUAAUAGAUACUUACAGAUGAUUCUUGAUCUCAAAGAAUUUACAGUCUGAUAGGAGUGAUGAGAUAAAACAAUUAUUUAACUCUGGGGAAAAGUAGAAAAUGGCAGUUUCAGUUCCUGGCUCAAGAAAGGUUUGUUGAAUGAAAGAAUGAAGGGCAGAGAGCCACACAUAAAAUACUAAGAGUUGAGACGAGAAGUUAUUUAUCCAUGAGAAGAUCAAGAGAGGCUUUCAUAAGGAAUAUGACAACUGAGCAAGACCAUAAAUGUCAGAUAGGACUUAGAUGUGAGACUGCAGGGAGCGGGUAAUGCCAGGUGGAGGUAACAGUGUCUGGAAGUGAAAGUUAGAAAGUUCAGGGUGCAUAGAAGAAAAGGUGAAGUUGAAGCGUGAAAGAGGGUCCUCAGCGAGAUCCAGCUGAGGGAGUAGGCUGGAACAAAAAUCUGGAGGGCCCUGGAUGCUCUAAGGAAUGUGGAGUUUAUUCAGAAAGUAAUAUUUAGCAUUAGAAAGAUAAUGUAUGGAUAACAAAAUAUUUGAAUCACUUGUGGAUGUACAAUUAGAAGUCUAAAGAGAAAGGAGGAACAGAAGAGUUGGGGCUCAAAGUCAUUCAUAAUGCAAACGUGCAGAUUCAUCCCUCCUUCCAGUGCUCAGGCUCUUGUUCAAAGGAUUCGUGUUACUGAGCUCAUACAGGUAGAGUGCAAUUCAUUCACUAGCACUCAGCCAAAAAAAACUCCUUACUGUCAUUAGCACUUAAUUAUGCUAUGCGAUGUGAAAUUCCUUAUUAAAUCUUUUCAGAGGCAGCAAGUAAGAAGAGUUAGGAAGCAAUUUCCUAGGAAAAGUAGUUUAUAUUUACUGUCUCCAUUUCUACGUUUUUCAUUCACUGCAAUCUGGAUUUUGUCUCUCAUUAUAAUAGAAACUGCUCUCAUUAAAGUCACCUUGGACUCCUGAAUCACCAAUCCCAAUGGCACUUUGCUCAAACGCCGCCUCCUCUAAGAAGGUUUCCUUAAUCUCAUAGACAGGGAAGAUACCCUUUCACCCGUUACGCUGAAGCCCUCUGAGCCCACCUCUGUGAUGGUACCUAUCGAACUGUAUUACAAUUAUUGACAGCCGUGUCAUUCCCUCUGGACUGUGACUUCCAUGAGGGCAGAAAGUGUGUCUUAUUCAACUUUGUAUUCCCAGCACCUGGUAUGAUGCUGUCUGAAUUAUUGAUAAAUGCAAACAAUAAACUCCCCUCUAUUAUCUCUCUCAAUUCUCUCCUCAAGAUACACUUUUAGAAAAAUACUGAAGACUUCCAAAUAUAAUCAGAAUAGAAACUGUCCUGAAGACUUCCCAAUGUCACUAGAAUAGAAACAUUUCCUCUGAGAACACUACUUUCACCUUCAUUUGUACUGUAAAUUAUCUGUCAUUAAAUGAUUAAUAUAGUAAUAAAGCUUAGAUGAUUCACAAUUGAGUCUCUUGCCCUCUAACCCUCAUCCACUGCUACAGUCCCUUAUCCACACUUCUUGUGACUCUACCGUGUUGGGGUUUCCUUGGGUAAGGACUAUUUAGAUUUAGCUAAAUAUUUUUAAAUAUCUGCUGUGCUCAAUGUGUUCUAGUUAGUGCUGGAGAUUCAAAGAUAAAUAAUAACUAAUAAAAAUAAACACCUAUGAAAUUUAUGGUAUUGUUUAUUAUUUCUAAUUUCAUCUGACAUAGUUUUUUCUAGUAAUAAAGCUCAUGGUCAAUAAACAUCUCAGUAUUUUAUUAUUCUGAUUGAUUGUUUUGCUACAUCCCUAGAUCUUUGAAAUUUAAUAUGCGAAGACCACUCUUGUCCACAUUUUUAUAAACACAUACACGCACACAACCUCUUUUAUGCAAUUUUGCAAAUACUUUGGGAUUUACUAACAUUGAUACAUCUGGCAACUUGGAAUUCUCUUAUCUUUGGUUUUCUCUCUCUCUUUUGCUCCUUUGUUUCAGUUUUUGCUAAAUUGUCUCUUCCCAUCAUCUACAAAGUCCGCACUUUCAUUCUUUUCUUUGAUUCUGGUUACUAUCUCCCUUUUCAAUCUUCUACUUAACUAUCAUCACUUCUCCCAUUAUCUUGUUAUCUAUUAUGUUGAUCAUUUUACUCCUAGGAAAGAUCUUCCUAGGGCUAUCUUAUGGUAGGACCAUGAAUGAAUGAUAUAACUAUAUAGGCAUCUAUAUAUGCCAUGAAGGUAGUCAUCCAAAAUCAUCCUCGGAAAAAUUUGGAAAAUGUGGGGGCAGCAUUUAGCAAGGGAACAGAAGUAUAGGGCAGCUAUCUUUUAAGAAAGUUAGUAUCAUAUUGGUAUCUAAUACAGUGCAAAGUCCAAGAGAACGAAGGAAUUGAGUCUGAGAGGUAAAUUAAAGUUUUUCAAUUGUCAACUCGUUAUUGUUCCAUGUGAGUUUAUAAUUUCCAUGAAAAAACGAUACAUAUUAUGAAUUAAAUGUCAAUAACAGCAUAUUAUCAAGCGUUAACAAGUGGUAGAGACUAAGCUUCGAUGAUUGUCAUAUGAGGGUUGGGUGAGGUGGAACCAAUAAAUGUAGGCGGGGCUGAGGUGGAGAACAGUGAUGCCCUGAUUUGAUAUCCCUUGUGAUAAAUAUCCCAGUGUCCUAAAUGUAUGGUGUAUAUAGUCCAUAUUUUUAAAAAACAUAUCUAUCCAACUAAUUUCAACAUUACAAUGUAUAUGAAAUAUACUAUGUGAUAAGGAAAUGUGUGACCAAAGGAAUCUGUAAAUGUUUUGCUAUGGUUUUUUUUCGUUCUGCUAAGAAAUUUUCAAUUUAAUAAUACUGAAGAUAUUUUAUAAAAAUACUGAAGUUAUUUUGAGUAGAGUAGUUGAGUACACCUCUAUUUAAAGAUCAUAUUCAUAUUUUUUAAAAUAAAUGAAUAUCUAAGCUUGUAUUCAAAUUUAGUUUGUGGUUUUUCCUCAGUGUAACGAAAGUCAAUUUUGGAUAAUUACGAGUUUGUUGGUAGAUGCUAUUAAAGAAAUUUUAAGUGUUCAUAUAACCACUACUUUUUUAAAUGUCAACUUAAAAAAUAUUUUUGGAAAUACUUUCCUCAAUGCUUGUAAACACCUGGUCUGUAUGACGGGGUAGGGGAGCAGCAGUGGAGUUUUGCUUUUGCUUUUAGAAAGAAACUUUGGAGCAUCUGUGCAUUUAGAUCCAUUGAAAGCAUUACAAAGACUUUGAAAACAGACUGAAAGAAAGCAGAGGUCCAAAAUCGGUCUUUCUAAUAUACCGCAACAUCAUUCCUGACGUAAACUUUUCUUACUUCUAAUUAUUCUUUACUUCUAAUAAAGUAUAAACUAUGCAUACAUGACAAGGUUUGCUUGUAAGAGAAUCUUAGAGCAGAUUUUCAGGAAAUAAAAUUUUCAGGAAAUGAAAUAUUUUUUACAAUGUACUAUUUGUUCAAACAACAUAAUGAACAAUAAGAUAUAUUGGUAUAAGUUGGCUAUACAUUUAUUUAAUUUUAAAGAUAUCAGAAUUAAUAUAUUACAUAAAACCACUCCUCCUUGAAGCAAAGCGUAACUGUUUGUCACAAUUAUUUUAAUAUACUUCUCUUCUAAGAUCUAGUUUAAACUCAGGGAAGCAAGGUUUGGAAUGGGAAGAGUUAAAAAGCACGAAGCAACAGUAACCCCAUUUAGAUAAGGGGAUAGAUGGGCGGAGCAAGGGAACAAUACACUAAAGUGCUUUUUGCUCACAGAUCUUGGUUCAAAUUAAGGUUAAAUUCCAAAGAAGGAUGUGUUUUCCCCAUGUGGAGUCUUAAAGGACAUGCCUUUGUUUCCAGCUUCCCAGAGAAGAUAUAUGUUAACACAAACAAACCAUUUCAUAAUAAAUUUACCUUUUAUAGAGUGACUAAUGCCCUGUGGAGAUAAGGUGGACUCUCAGUCACCUGUGUUUAAUCCAGGCUGAAGAAAUUGUGCCAAGGGCACACUGACGAAACUUUAUUCCUUUGGAGAGGAUGGCAGGAACUUGGUAGAGAGCGGAAAGGGUCUUGGUUUUAAAAGUCUCAUUGGGAUGACUCUGCCUUCCCCACUGUGAACACAGUUCAGCAUUUAUGUACUUUGGAAGGACAAAGAGGUGAGGAUAUUUGCUUUGGAAGAGAAGAUUUAUGGCUGAAGAACUAUGACUAAAUAGCUUAUUUGCUAAGAUAAACCAAACUGAAUUAGCAUUAAGGUUAAGAACUGAAGAAAAAACCUUUCUGUUGAGUUGCUCAAGAGUAUAUAACAAUAAAAGGAAGACAGAGGAUGCACUUCAGCUGCUACUAUAUCCUACAUUGUUAUAGAAUCAUCUUUUCUCUUUAAAAGCUCAAAGCUACCCAGACAAAUGAUUAUCUAUGCUACCAAAACAUGCAAAAAGAUGCUGCAAGAUGUUAAUUUAAUUAUAGCGGUGUAAAUGUCACAUCCAAUUCUCUUUAAAAGGAACAACAGAAAAUUGGAAAAUACAGUAUCUCUAGGUAAAUAAAAGAAUAUAAUGAGCUGACUGCAAAGAAGUGAGAAGUAAGAGAAUGGGCAACAGUUUCGUGGAUCCAGAGUCUUCGGCUGACCACUUGAUGAGAAGGAAUGAGUACUCUCCAGCAGAAUUCCCACACGGGAGAAACAGGCCUACUUACAGACUAGCUAAUGAAGUCCAUACCAGACACUUGGCCUUCUUUUUUAACCCUGAAAAGACAAGAUGAGAACUACAGGAAGAAAGGAAAGAACAAGGUAAAUAAACAGAAAACCUGGUCCCCCAAAGAAACAGUUUAAAGAACAAAAGUAAGAAAAAAUUAUAACUUAGACAGAGAGAUAAGAGACGACAUCAUGUUGAUUAUACAAGAUCAGGAUGCCAUGAAAAAAGAAUAAAAAAUAAGAAAGCAUUUUUAGAGAAAAAUACCAUUGACUAAAUUAAAUGUUAAUAGAAGGACUUGAUUGCACAACAAUGUGAAUGUACUUAAUAUGCCACUGAACUCCACACUUAACAAUGGUUAAAAUGAUAAAUUUUGUUAUAUACAUUUACCACAAUUUUAAAAAAUGACUAUGGGAACUUUCAUGUAACUUGCAAAAUGGGAAAGUAUUUCCCAGAAAAGCUCCUCUUAGCCAACAGCAGUGGUAAAAAUUUUUUAUCUAUAGACAAUCUAUUUUUACUCUUGAAGAUGGAAAGGUACUUGAAAGCAACAAUGAGGAAGCAGAUGCCAUAUUUAUAUUUAUACAAAUAAAUAUUUCAAAUCCAUUGACCGAAAAAAAGAACUUGAAAUAAAGUUGAGGAAACUUCUAAAACCAUGUUAAGUUAAUCAGAAGGUUAAAGAUUUAGAAAAUAUAAAUAAAAAUAUGAAAGAAUCAGUCUAGGAGGUACAACAUCUGGCAAUUAGGAAACCAGGAAGAGACAUCAGAAAGAAAGAAAAAAAGAGGGGAGAAAACUAUCAAAUAAACGUAAGGAGCAUUUGUCAGAGAUGAAAGACAAGAAUCUUGAAAUUGAAAGCAUCCAGAAGUACGAAGCACAAUAAAUGAAAGGAGAGCAUUCUUAGACACCUCCUUAUGUGAUUUCAGAACACCAAGGUGAAAAGUACUUUUAGCAUCUUCCAUGAGAAAAAGUCUACUAAGGAAAACUGAUUUGAAUCAUUCUGGAAUCUGUUACUGGAAGCAAAAAAAAGAGAAGAGUAGUAUCUUGAAAGUUUUGAAUGGAUGUAAUUUACAAAUUUGAACUACCAUUUACCUUUUGUUUGGAAGUUAGUUGAAGAGGGAAUAAAGCAAGAAAGAAGACAUGGACUCCUAGAAACAGUGAAACCAACCCAGUAGGGCAGUGAAGAGAAAUCCUACGACGACAGCUGUGCAGCAGCCUAGAGAGCACCCAACAGGUCCGGAUUACAGCAGAGGAUGGCGGGCUCUGGUGAGAAAGGGAACCACAUAAAACAGAAAGGAAGAGUGACAAGAUGGAAAAAGCUGAAAUAAUAAAGCAUGAGAUCCAAGAAAAAGAAAGGUAAUUAGAAAUUUCAGACAGGAUGAAACAACUGUACAAGAAAGUCAUGACUGAAGAAAGAAAGAAACACAAAAUAUGGUAUGAUUUUAAGUACUUGAGGGAGUAAAAAAAAUCCUUUUGUCUUGAUCCAAAGAACAUUCUCCUUUGGCAGAGGGACUGACAAAAAUGCAAUCCAAAGGAAAGGAACUAUAAUUCUUGAAUACCUCAUGGCCAGCAUAGUCAAUAACGCUGCUUCCUAUUUUUCAAAUAGGAAAAAUUGAAAAUCUGAACAUCAAUCUGUAUAUGAAGCAAUGAAGAAUUUCAUUGUUAAUUCCAUGUGGAUUAGGACAGGUGGAGAAAAGAAGAGAAAAUAAAAUACAAAUUCUUCACCUUCAUUCAACUUGUUGAAUACUUCUUAGGACAAUUAGGACAAUAAGAGUUCUUUACAGAUCUAUAUAUUUGCUAUUUCAAUGUUUUCUAGAAGUCUACAUUUUGUCAGUGUUUAUACUGAUAAAUAUAAUUAUCUAAAAAAUAAUCUGUGUAUGUAUGCCUUAUUUGAGUAUUUUGACAAUUGUUUUUGGAUUAUCUUUGCUAAAGAUUUCUGCCAUUUUUUAGAUUGAUAAUAUCAAUUGCAGAACCCAUAAACAGGGAAAUUAAAAGAAAAUGGAAUAGAGCUGUUGAUUCUUAGAAAUGACUUUGACAUGGCAAAAAUUCAGCAACCUGUCCAAUCAAGUACCAUGUACGGAAUGUGAAAACAGUCCUCAGGUGACAGGAGGAAGAAUGUGAUCUUGCUGCCAUUCCCUUCUUUGUCGGCAUAAACCAGAAAUUAUUUUAAGGUGAUCUUUCAGAACGUCUGUGGAGUCAUAUAUGAGUUAAAAAUUUUUGAAGAGUUAUAUAAAAAUAAAUACCUACAGAACUUAAACAUGAAGACACAAAGAAACAUAUCUGUCAUGGAAUUUGUUAAUAUUUAUGAACAAACACUGAUGAAUGCAAAAACUACGAGUGAUCUUCACACACAUGAAAGAGCCAGCAGAAUACUGAUUGUGAAAUUUGAGAUCCUGUGGUUCUUGUAGUAUAAUUAACAGUGUAAAGGAAGACUUUGAGUUCUCUAAGAUCCCUUUAGGAAGUUUUUCUCCCCUUGCACGCUCUGGUUUAACUCCACCCCACUGAUUUUAAAAGGCAACAGCACAGCAAACAAUAUUCACUUCCUUGU